ACUACUGUUAGUAGCAAAUUUCAUUGUUGCUACCAGUUUUUUAGCUUUGGAUCAACCCUUUUCAUUAUUUCUAAUCAUUGAUUAAAUAGUAUAACCCAGUGGGAACCACUCAAUUCUAACGACUAAUAUCAUUCCGACCCUACAAUUUUUCAUUCAAGGGUUAAAAAUUUGAUAGCAAAAAAAGCGUUUUAACUAUUAAUAGUAUUCCAGCCUAAUUAUAUAUAUAUA
This 228-nucleotide long non-coding RNA is filed under the name Ananas comosus (pineapple). Its description in RNAcentral is "long non-coding RNA (ACOM_LNC031166)". Lineage: Eukaryota; Viridiplantae; Streptophyta; Magnoliopsida; Poales; Bromeliaceae. The record is from RNAcentral.